GUUUCACUUACAUCAGUUUUGGGAGAAACCAAGAGGAGAGCCAAGUGAAGAGAAUCGGAUUUUCUGUAGAGUUAUGUCCUUCAAUCUAAGGUGAUCCUGAGUAGUAGGUGGUGGCUCAACUGUCUAGGGCUCUGAUACGUACGGGAUGGGAAUUAGUUAUAUUUAUUUUCAUUCCUUAUGUAUCAAUUUUGGAAUUAUGAUGUGGAGCCUUUUUAUUGUUAUUUGAACAAUGUUGUUGACUUUAUGCUGAUGCCUUUAGUGCCAUAA
This 267-nucleotide long non-coding RNA is filed under the name Medicago truncatula (barrel medic). RNAcentral describes it as "lncRNA gene35692". Lineage: Eukaryota; Viridiplantae; Streptophyta; Magnoliopsida; Fabales; Fabaceae. The record is from RNAcentral.